GACCGUGUAGCUCAGUUGGUAGAGUGUCGAUCUAGUAAUUCGAAGGUCGCGGGUUCAAGACCCAGCCGCCUCAGUCU
Molecule: non-coding RNA, 77 nt
Organism: Paramuricea clavata
Lineage: Eukaryota; Metazoa; Cnidaria; Anthozoa; Malacalcyonacea; Plexauridae
Source: the annotation of a GenBank genome assembly